This 329-nucleotide ribosomal RNA is filed under the name uncultured eukaryote. Its description in RNAcentral is "partial 18S ribosomal RNA". It matches the Rfam family "Eukaryotic small subunit ribosomal RNA", at positions 1470 to 1796 of the family's 1831-position model. The record is from RNAcentral.
CCCUUAGAUGUUCGGGGCCGCACGCGCGCUACACUGACGAUGUCAACGAGUCUCUCCUUGGCCGAAAGGUCUGGGUAAUCUUCUGAAACAUCGUCGUGCUGGGGAUAGAUCAUUGCAAUUUUUGAUCUUGAACGAGGAAUUCCUAGUAAGCGCGAGUCAUCAGCUCGCGUUGAUUACGUCCCUGCCCUUUGUACACACCGCCCGUCGCUACUACCGAUUGAAUGGUUUAGUGAGGACUCCUGAUUGGCGCCGCCGCCCCGGCAACGGAGCAGUGGACUGCCGAAAAGUUGUCCAAACUUGAUCAUUUAGAGGAAGUAAAAGUCGUAACA